Molecule: transfer RNA, 88 nt
Filed under: Acidobacteriota bacterium
Lineage: Bacteria; Pseudomonadati; Acidobacteriota
Also listed under: 3 other names
Description: tRNA-Leu
Rfam family: tRNA
About the family: Transfer RNA (tRNA) molecules are approximately 80 nucleotides in length. Their secondary structure includes four short double-helical elements and three loops (D, anti-codon, and T loops). Further hydrogen bonds mediate the characteristic L-shaped molecular structure. tRNAs have two regions of fundamental functional importance: the anti-codon, which is responsible for specific mRNA codon recognition, and the 3' end, to which the tRNAs corresponding amino acid is attached (by aminoacyl-tRNA synthetases). tRNAs cope with the degeneracy of the genetic code in two manners: having more than one tRNA (with a specific anti-codon) for a particular amino acid; and 'wobble' base-pairing, i.e. permitting non-standard base-pairing at the 3rd anti-codon position.
Source: RNAcentral
GCCGGUGUGGCGGAAUUGGCAGACGCGCUGGACUCAAAAUCCUGUGGGCUUUACGCCCGUCUCGGUUCGACCCCGAGCACCGGCACCA